AUUGAACGCUGGCGGCAGGCCUAACACAUGCAAGUCGAGCGGAUGAAGGGAGCUUGCUCCUGGAUUCAGCGGCGGACGGGUGAGUAAUGCCUAGGAAUCUGCCUGGUACUGGGGGAUAACGUCCGGAAACGGGCGCUAAUACCGCAUACGUCCUGAGGGAGAAAGUGGGGGAUCUUCGGACCUCACGCUAUCAGAUGAGCCUAGGUCGGAUUAGCUAGUUGGUGGGGUAAAGGCCUACCAAGGCGACGAUCCGUAACUGGUCUGAGAGGAUGAUCAGUCACACUGGAACUGAGACACGGUCCAGACUCCUACGGGAGGCAGCAGUGGGGAAUAUUGGACAAUGGGCGAAAGCCUGAUCCAGCCAUGCCGCGUGUGUGAAGAAGGUCUUCGGAUUGUAAAGCACUUUAAGUUGGGAGGAAGGGCAGUAAGUUAAUACCUUGCUGUUUUGACGUUACCAACAGAAUAAGCACCGGCUAACUUCGUG
Molecule: ribosomal RNA, 484 nt
Filed under: uncultured bacterium
Lineage: Bacteria
Description: partial 16S ribosomal RNA
Rfam family: Bacterial small subunit ribosomal RNA
Source: RNAcentral